GAGUUUGAUCGUGGCUCAGAUUGAACGCUGGCGGCAUGCCUUACACAUGCAAGUCGAACGGCAGCAUGAUCUAGCUUGCUAGAUUGAUGGCGAGUGGCGAACGGGUGAGUAAUACAUCGGAACGUGCCCUGUAGUGGGGGAUAACUAGUCGAAAGAUUAGCUAAUACCGCAUACGACCUGAGGGUGAAAGUGGGGGACCGCAAGGCCUCAUGCUAUAGGAGCGGCCGAUGUCUGAUUAGCUAGUUGGUGGGGUAAAGGCCCACCAAGGCGACGAUCAGUAGCUGGUCUGAGAGGACGAUCAGCCACACUGGGACUGAGACACGGCCCAGACUCCUACGGGAGGCAGCAGCGGGGAAUUUUGGACAAUGGGCGAAAGCCUGAUCCAGCAAUGCCGCGUGUGUGAAGAAGGCCUCGGUU
This 417-nucleotide ribosomal RNA is filed under the name uncultured microorganism. Its description in RNAcentral is "bacterial SSU rRNA". It matches the Rfam family "Bacterial small subunit ribosomal RNA", at positions 9 to 424 of the family's 1533-position model. The record is from RNAcentral.